GAUGAAGAACGUAGUGAAAUGCGAUAAGUAAUGUGAAUUGCAGAAUUCAGUGAAUCAUCGAAUCUUUGAACGCACAUUGCGCCCGCCAGUAUUCUGGCGGGCAUGCCUGUUCGAGCGUCAUUACAACCCUCAGGCCCCCGGGCCUGGCGGUGGGGAUCGGCGGAGCCCCCCGUGGGCACACGCCGUCCCCCAAAUGCAGUGGCGGUCCCGCCGCAGCUUCCAUCGCGUAGUAGCUAACACCUCGCGACUGGAGAGCGGCGCGGCCACGCCGUAAAACACCCAACUCUUCUGAAGUUGACCUCGAAUCAGGUAGGAAUACCCGCUGAACUUAAGCAUAUCAAUAAGCGGAGGA
This 352-nucleotide unclassified non-coding RNA is filed under the name soil metagenome. RNAcentral describes it as "partial contains 5.8S ribosomal RNA, internal transcribed spacer 2, and large subunit ribosomal RNA". The stretch from base 1 to 120 matches the Rfam family "5.8S ribosomal RNA", at positions 35 to 154 of the family's 154-position model. The record is from RNAcentral.